This 181-nucleotide ribosomal RNA is filed under the name uncultured bacterium. RNAcentral's name for it is "partial 16S ribosomal RNA". It matches the Rfam family "Bacterial small subunit ribosomal RNA", at positions 1319 to 1500 of the family's 1533-position model. The record is from RNAcentral.
CAUGAAGCUGGAAUCGCUAGUAAUCGCAGGUCAGCAUACUGCGGUGAAUACGUUCCCGGGUCUUGUACACACCGCCCGUCACACCAUGGGAGCCGGAAAUGCCCGAAGCCAGUGACCCAACCUUAGGGAGGGAGCUGUCGAAGGUGGAGCCGGUAACUGGGUGAAGUCGUAACAAGGUAGC